AGACCCGAAACCCGGUGAUCUAGCCAUGGGCAGGUUGAAGGUUGGGUAACACUAACUGGAGGACCGAACCGACUAAUGUUGAAAAAUUAGCGGAUGACCUGUGGCUGGGGGUGAAAGGCCAAUCAAACCGGGAGAUAGCUGGUUCUCCCCGAAAGCUAUUUAGGUAGCGCCUCGUGAAUUCAUCUCCGGGGGUAGAGCACUGUUUCGGCUAGGGGGCCAUCCCGGCUUACCAACCCGAUGCAAACUGCGAAUACCGGAGAAUGUUAUCACGGGAGACACACGGCGGGUGCUAACGUCCGUCGUGAAGAGGGAAACAACCCAGACCGCCAGCUAAGGUCCCAAAGUCAUGGUUAAGUGGGAAACGAUGUGGGAAGGCCCAGACAGCCAGGAUGUUGGCUUAGAAGCAGCCAUCAUUUAAAGAAAGCGUAAUAGCUCACUGGUCGAGUCGGCCUGCGCGGAAGAUGUAACGGGGCUAAACCAUGCACCGAAGCUGCGGCAGCGAACGUAUCACCCAAGACAACUUUACGGAGUUGACGAUUGACGGAGCGAAGCGACGUCAAAGCGUUCAUUAAAGUCGAGUUGGCUUAGGGAUACGUUCGUUGGGUAGGGGAGCGUUCUGUAAGCCUGUGAAGGUGUGUCGUGAGGCAUGCUGGAGGUAUCAGAAGUGCGAAUGCUGACAUAAGUAACGAUAAAGCGGGUGAAAAGCCCGCUCGCCGGAAGACCAAGGGUUCCUGUCCAACGUUAAUCGGGGCAGGGUGAGUCGACCCCUAAGGCGAGGCCGAAAGGCGUAGUCGAUGGGAAACGGGUUAAUAUUCCCGUACUUGGUGUUACUGCGAAGGGGGGACGGAGAAGGCUAUGUUGGCCGGGCGACGGUUGUCCCGGUUUAAGCGUGUAGGUGUGUGUUCCAGGUAAAUCCGGUUCACUUUAACACUGAGGCGUGAUGACGAGGCACUACGGUGCUGAAGCAACAAAUGCCCUGCUUCCAGGAAAAGCCUCUAAGC
This 1001-nucleotide ribosomal RNA is filed under the name Salmonella enterica. RNAcentral's name for it is "partial 23S ribosomal RNA". It matches the Rfam family "Bacterial large subunit ribosomal RNA", at positions 711 to 1629 of the family's 2925-position model. Lineage: Bacteria; Pseudomonadati; Pseudomonadota; Gammaproteobacteria; Enterobacterales; Enterobacteriaceae. RNAcentral also lists the same sequence under 2 other names. The record is from RNAcentral.